AACAAGGCGUACCUGCGGACCUGCGGAGGGAUCAUCAUUGAAAACAAAUUUGGACAAGGGGAUUGUUGGAUGGGGGGAGGGAAAAAGGGGGAUAGAAACUCUGCAUUUUGUUCCCUGACCCUUGAGGACAGCCUCUUGGACAAACAACCAAUCUUCAUGACUAGGAAAGGAAAGGAAAUGAAAUUGAUACAAGUUCUUGUCUGACAAGUAAGCUUGCUGAUUUGGAGCAGAGCAUGUGAU
RNAcentral lists this unclassified non-coding RNA (240 nucleotides) under soil metagenome. Its description in RNAcentral is "partial contains 5.8S ribosomal RNA, internal transcribed spacer 2, and large subunit ribosomal RNA". The record is from RNAcentral.